This is a long non-coding RNA of Cebus imitator (Panamanian white-faced capuchin), 232 nucleotides long. RefSeq lists it as uncharacterized. The transcript is spliced from 2 exons. NCBI's taxonomy places the organism in Eukaryota, Metazoa, Chordata, Mammalia, Primates, Cebidae. The record is from RefSeq and is a predicted model, not a curated record.
CCGCUGGCGGCCGCCAGCACGGCGCGGAGGUGGGCUUACGGCGGCGGCGCAGGAGAGGUCACCGCGGUGGCAUUCCUCUCCGCGCUGUUUACGUGACUUAAUGUACUCGCUGCGCCGCGGCCUGUUAUCUAGGCCACCCAAUGACCGACGAAAGAUCUUCCCUCCCUGCUUCUCCCGUGGCCGCUUUAAACCAAAUAAAUUUAGCUAUUAAGGGCCAAGAUGUCUGACAAAA